Molecule: RNase P RNA, 385 nt
Filed under: Klebsiella pneumoniae
Lineage: Bacteria; Pseudomonadati; Pseudomonadota; Gammaproteobacteria; Enterobacterales; Enterobacteriaceae
Description: RNase P RNA component class A
Rfam family: Bacterial RNase P class A
About the family: Ribonuclease P (RNase P) is a ubiquitous endoribonuclease, found in archaea, bacteria and eukarya as well as chloroplasts and mitochondria. Its best characterised activity is the generation of mature 5'-ends of tRNAs by cleaving the 5'-leader elements of precursor-tRNAs.
Source: RNAcentral
GAAGCUGACCAGACAGUCGCCGCUUCGUCGUCGUCCUCCUUCGGGGGGGAGACGGGCGGAGGGGAGGAAAGUCCGGGCUCCAUAGGGCAAGGUGCCAGGUAACGCCUGGGGGGUGUCACAGCCCACGACCAGUGCAACAGAGAGCAAACCGCCGAUGGCCCGCGCAAGCGGGAUCAGGUAAGGGGUGAAAGGGUGCGGUAAGAGCGCACCGCGCGGCUGGUAACAGUCCGCGGCACGGUAAACUCCACCCGGAGCAAGGCCAAAUAGGGGUUCAUAAGGUACGGCCCGUACUGAACCCGGGUAGGCUGCUUGAGCCAGUGAGCGAUUGCUGGCCUAGAUGAAUGACUGUCCACGACAGAACCCGGCUUAUCGGUCAGUUUCACCU